UAGAACAUAUUGGUAUUGAAGGAACUAGAUACUGUUCCGAAAUAUCACUUACUCGAACCGUCCUGACCGCGUAGCUCAGUUGGAAGAGCAUUGGGCUGGUAUUCCAAAGGUCGUAGGUUCGAAUCCCACCGUGGCCGGGCAUAUUUUCAAGCUCGCCCGGUGUGGAUAUGCACUCAGAGUAACAUGCAAACAUAUUAUUCACCUGAGUACACAACACCAACACAGAGAAAAAAGAAAUUCAUAUUACUAGAAGAUAUUGGUAUUGAAGGAACCAGAUACUGUUCCGAAAUAUCACUUACUCGAACCGUCCUGACUGCGUAGCUCAGUUGGAAGAGCAUUGGGCUAGUAUUCCAAAGGUUGUAGGUUCGAAUCCCACCGUCGCCGGGCAUAUUUUUCAAGCUCGCCCGGUGUGGAUAUGCACUCUGAGUAACAUCGCAAACAUAUUAUUCACCUGAGUACACAACACCAACACAGAGAAAAAAAAUUCAUAUUAC
Non-coding RNA from Paramuricea clavata, 494 nucleotides. The record is from the annotation of a GenBank genome assembly. Lineage: Eukaryota; Metazoa; Cnidaria; Anthozoa; Malacalcyonacea; Plexauridae.